CAGGUUUACCUGUGUGACUGCGUACCUUUUGUAUAAUGGGUCAGCGACUUAUAUUCUGUAGCAAGGUUAACCGUAUAGGGGAGCCGGAGGGAAACCGAGUCUUAACCGGGCGUUAAGUUGCAGGGUAUAGACCCGAAACCCGGUGAUCUAGCCAUGGGCAGGUUGAAGGUUGGGUAACACUAACUGGAGGACCGAACCGACUAAUGUUGAAAAAUUAGCGGAUGACCUGUGGCUGGGGGUGAAAGGCCAAUCAAACCGGGAGAUAGCUGGUUCUCCCCGAAAGCUAUUUAGGUAGCGCCUCGUGAAUUCAUCUCCGGGGGUAGAGCACUGUUUCGGCUAGGGGGCCAUCCCGGCUUACCAACCCGAUGCAAACUGCGAAUACCGGAGAAUGUUAUCACGGGAGACACACGGCGGGUGCUAACGUCCGUCGUGAAGAGGGAAACAACCCAGACCGCCAGCUAAGGUCCCAAAGUCAUGGUUAAGUGGGAAACGAUGUGGGAAGGCCCAGACAGCCAGGAUGUUGGCUUAGAAGCAGCCAUCAUUUAAAGAAAGCGUAAUAGCUCACUGGUCGAGUCGGCCUGCGCGGAAGAUGUAACGGGGCUAAACCAUGCACCGAAGCUGCGGCAGCGAACGUAUCACUUAAAGCGAUUCAGCGG
Molecule: ribosomal RNA, 656 nt
Filed under: Salmonella enterica subsp. enterica serovar Infantis
Lineage: Bacteria; Pseudomonadati; Pseudomonadota; Gammaproteobacteria; Enterobacterales; Enterobacteriaceae
Description: partial 23S ribosomal RNA
Rfam family: Bacterial large subunit ribosomal RNA
Source: RNAcentral